CCUACGGGUGGCAGCAGUGAGGAAUAUUGGUCAAUGGCCGGAAGGCUGAACCAGCCAUGCCGCGUGACGGUCAGUGCCCUAUGGGCGUUAAACUUCUUUUGUGCGGGAGCAAUAAUGGUCACGUGUGGCCAGACGCGAGUAACGUACGAAUAAGCAUCGGCUAACUCCGUGCCCGCAGCCGCGGUAAUAAGGGGGCUACAAGCGUUAUCGCGAUUUAUUGGGUUUAAAGGGUGCGUAGGCUGGGAGGUAAGUCAGCGGUGAAAUUCCCACGCGCAACGGGGUGAAGUGCCAUUGAUACUGGCUGGCUGGAAUGCGGAAGCGGUGGGAGGAAUGUGAGGUGUAGCGGUGAAAUGCAUAGAUAUC
Molecule: ribosomal RNA, 363 nt
Filed under: uncultured bacterium
Lineage: Bacteria
Description: partial 16S ribosomal RNA
Rfam family: Bacterial small subunit ribosomal RNA
Source: RNAcentral